AACAUAAGAGUUUGAUCCUGGCUCAGGACGAACGCUGGCGGCGUGCUUAACACAUGCAAGUCGAACGAAGAAUACUGGGUGCUUGCACUUGGUAUUACUUAGUGGCGGACGGGUGAGUAACGCGUGAGGAAUCUGCCUCAGUCAGGGGGACAACAGUUAGAAAUGGCUGCUAAUACCGCAUAAGACCACGGAGUGGCAUCACUUUGUGGUAAAAGAGAUAUGUAUCGGACUGAGAUGACCUUGCGUCCUAUUAGUUAGUUGGUGGGGUAACGGCCUACCAAGACCGCGAUAGGUAGCCGACCUGAGAGGGUGAACGGCCACACUGGAACUGAGAGACGGACCAGACUCCUACGGGAGGCAGCAGUGGGGAAUAUUGGGCAAUGGAGGCAACUCUGACCCAGCAACGCCGCGUGAAGGAAGAAGGCCUUCGGGUUGUAAACUUUUGUUGUAGAGGACGAAGA
Molecule: ribosomal RNA, 461 nt
Filed under: Clostridiales bacterium
Lineage: Bacteria; Bacillati; Bacillota; Clostridia; Eubacteriales
Description: bacterial SSU rRNA
Rfam family: Bacterial small subunit ribosomal RNA
Source: RNAcentral